UGGGGAAUUUUGGACAAUGGGCGAAAGCCUGAUCCAGCAAUGCCGCGUGUGUGAAGAAGGCCUUCGGGUUGUAAAGCACUUUUGUCCGGAAAGAAAUCCUCUGGGGUUAAUACCCUCGGGGGGAUGACGGUACCGGAAGAAUAAGCACCGGCUAACUACGUGCCAGCAGCCGCGGUAAUACGUAGGGUGCAAGCGUUAAUCGGAAUUACUGGGCGUAAAGCGUGCGCAGGCGGUUUUGUAAGACGGAUGUGAAAUCCCCGGGCUUAACCUGGGAACUGCAUUCGUGACUGCAAGGCUAGAGUAUGGCAGAGAGGGGUUAGGAAAUUUCCACGUGUAGCAGUGAAAUGCGUAGAGAUGUGGAGGAAUACCGAUGGCGAAGGCAGCCCCCUGGGCCAAUACUGACGCUCAUGCACGAAAGCCGUGGGGGAGCAAACAGGA
RNAcentral lists this ribosomal RNA (438 nucleotides) under uncultured bacterium. RNAcentral's name for it is "partial 16S ribosomal RNA". It matches the Rfam family "Bacterial small subunit ribosomal RNA", at positions 355 to 777 of the family's 1533-position model. The record is from RNAcentral.